AGUGAACGCUGGCGGUAGGCCUAACACAUGCAAGUCGAACGGCAGCACAGUAAGAGCUUGCUCUUACGGGUGGCGAGUGGCGGACGGGUGAGGAAUACAUCGGAAUCUACUUUUUCGUGGGGGAUAACGUAGGGAAACUUACGCUAAUACCGCAUACGACCUACGGGUGAAAGCAGGGGAUCUUCGGACCUUGCGCGAUUGAAUGAGCCGGUGUCGGAUUAGCUAGUUGGCGGGGUAAAGGCCCACCAAGGCGACGAUCCGUAGCUGGCCUGAGAGGAUGAUCAGACACACUGGAACUGAGACACGGUCCAGACUCCUACGGGGGGCAGCAGUGGGGAAUAUUGGACAAUGGGCGCAAGCCUGAUCCAGCCAUACCGCGUGGGUGAAGAAGGCCUUCGGGUUGUAAAGCCCUUUUGUUGGGAAAGAAAAGCAGCAGGUUAAUACCCCGCUGUUCUGACGGUACCCAAAGAAUAAGCACCGGCUAACUUCGUG
This 492-nucleotide ribosomal RNA is filed under the name uncultured bacterium. Its description in RNAcentral is "partial 16S ribosomal RNA". It matches the Rfam family "Bacterial small subunit ribosomal RNA", at positions 29 to 507 of the family's 1533-position model. The record is from RNAcentral.